AAUUAGCUCACGACAAAGAGAGGUUAUAUAUAGAGCAAUGGACCGUGGUUAAUGGCUGUAGCAGCAAAAUGUGAUGGCCUGUAAUGGGAUGUAAUGUGUUUUUUCUGUGAUUCUCAAAUAUCUAUUGUAAAACAGCCUUAACAUGAUGGCAGGCUAUAAAAACAAUACAUAAUGCCCUUUACCUUGUGUAAGGAACCUUUAAACCUUGCCUUUUAUGUGGAAUAGACAUGUUGCUGCAUACAGAUGAAUUCACAUAUUUGGUUUAU
Molecule: unclassified non-coding RNA, 266 nt
Filed under: Hevea brasiliensis (rubber tree)
Lineage: Eukaryota; Viridiplantae; Streptophyta; Magnoliopsida; Malpighiales; Euphorbiaceae
Source: RNAcentral